UUAAGGGCAUACGAUACAGUUACAGGGAAUGUAAUGACGUUGCUAACGUAAAAUGUUAUGUUCGCGACGUCAAACUCUGACAUAUCGGGAAAAGAUGCAUUUUUCGACUGAUUUUUAUCAUUCAAACUGAUUCAAUUUGAAAACGAGUGCAUGGACCCCUAUUUUUUAAAACAGCAAUUUGUUUCAUUUUGCAAGGAGAUUAUGUGACCCAAAUUUUAUAAAACUGUAAAUAGCGC
RNAcentral lists this long non-coding RNA (236 nucleotides) under Mytilus galloprovincialis (Mediterranean mussel). Lineage: Eukaryota; Metazoa; Mollusca; Bivalvia; Mytilida; Mytilidae. The record is from RNAcentral.